AUCGAACGCUGGCGGCGUGCCUAACACAUGCAAGUCGAACGAGAUCCAUGGGAGCUUGCUCCCGGAAGAUCUAGUGGCGAACGGGUGAGUAACACGUGAGAAACCUGCCCUGGAGCGGGGAAUAACUCGGGGAAACUCGAGCUAAUACCGCAUACCCUCGGAUGGUCGCAUGGCCGACCGAGGAAAGAUUUAUCGCUCUAGGAGGGUCUCGCGGCCUAUCAGCUAGUUGGUGGGGUAACGGCCUACCAAGGCAACGACGGGUAGCUGGUUUGAGAGAACGAUCAGCCACACUGGGACUGAGACACGGCCCAGACUCCUACGGGAGGCAGCAGUGGGGAAUCUUGCGCAAUGGGCGAAAGCCUGACGCAGCAACGCCGCGUGCGGGAUGACGGCCUUCGUGGUUGUAACCGACUUUCAGCAGGGACGGAAAAUAGACGGUACCUGCAGAAGAAGACCCCGGCUAACUACGUGCCAGCAGCCGCGGUAAGU
This 489-nucleotide ribosomal RNA is filed under the name uncultured bacterium. RNAcentral describes it as "bacterial SSU rRNA". It matches the Rfam family "Bacterial small subunit ribosomal RNA", at positions 29 to 525 of the family's 1533-position model. The record is from RNAcentral.